RNAcentral lists this ribosomal RNA (402 nucleotides) under Clostridioides difficile. Its description in RNAcentral is "partial 23S ribosomal RNA". It matches the Rfam family "Bacterial large subunit ribosomal RNA", at positions 1 to 404 of the family's 2925-position model. Lineage: Bacteria; Bacillati; Bacillota; Clostridia; Peptostreptococcales; Peptostreptococcaceae. The record is from RNAcentral.
GGUCAAGUUAUUAAGGGUGCAGGGCGGAUGCCUUGGCACUAGGAGCCGAUGAAGGACGUGAUAAGCUGCGAUAAGCUUCGGGGAGUUGCACGUAAACUUUGAUCCGAAGAUUUCCGAAUGAGGAAACUCACUUAGAGUAAUGUCUAAGUAUCAUUAAGUGAAUACAUAGCUUAAUGAGGGGAACUCAGGGAACUGAAACAUCUAAGUACCUGAAGGAAGAGAAAGAAAUUCGAUUCCGUAAGUAGCGGCGAGCGAACGCGGAUUAGCCCAAACCAAUAAAGUUUUCUUUAUUGGGGUUGCGGACAUAUCAUAACGAAGAGGUAUCGUAAUUGAAGAGGUUUGGAAAGACCCACCACAGAAGGUAAUAGUCCUGUAUGUUAAACGAGAAGACUUUAGAUAUGA